This 468-nucleotide ribosomal RNA is filed under the name uncultured bacterium. RNAcentral's name for it is "partial 16S ribosomal RNA". It matches the Rfam family "Bacterial small subunit ribosomal RNA", at positions 28 to 507 of the family's 1533-position model. The record is from RNAcentral.
GACGAACGCUGGCGGCGUGCUUAACACAUGCAAGUCGAACGGAAAGGCCCUGCUUUUGUGGGGUGCUCGAGUGGCGAACGGGUGAGUAACACGUGAGUAACCUGCCCUUGACUUUGGGAUAACUUCAGGAAACUGGGGCUAAUACCGGAUAGGAGCUCCUGCUGCAUGGUGGGGGUUGGAAAGUUUCGGCGGUUGGGGAUGGACUCGCGGCUUAUCAGCUUGUUGGUGGGGUAGUGGCUUACCAAGGCUUUGACGGGUAGCCGGCCUGAGAGGGUGACCGGCCACAUUGGGACUGAGAUACGGCCCAGACUCCUACGGGAGGCAGCAGUGGGGAAUAUUGCGCAAUGGGCGGAAGCCUGAUGCAGCAACGCCGCGUUCGGGAUGACGGCCUUCGGGUUGUAAACCGCUUUCGCCUGUGACGAAGCGUGAGUGACGGUAAUGGGUAAAGAAGCACCGACUAACUACGUG